Molecule: ribosomal RNA, 17 nt
Filed under: Phytophthora megakarya
Lineage: Eukaryota; Oomycota; Peronosporomycetes; Peronosporales; Peronosporaceae
Also listed under: 15 other names
Description: partial 18S ribosomal RNA
Source: RNAcentral
UGCGGAAGGAUCAUUAC